Molecule: ribosomal RNA, 1311 nt
Filed under: metagenome
Description: bacterial LSU rRNA
Rfam family: Bacterial large subunit ribosomal RNA
Source: RNAcentral
AGACCAUCUGUCGAGAAAAGCCGCUAUUGUGUAUACCGUACCCGUACCGUAAACCGACACAGGUGGAUGAGGAGAGAAUCCUAAGGCCGGCGGGAGAAGCAUUGUUAAGGAACUCGGCAAAAUGACCCCGUAACUUCGGGAGAAGGGGUGCUCACGCAAGUGAGCCGCAGAGAACUGGCCCAAGCAACUGUUUAGCAAAAACACAGGUCUAUGCAAAACCGAAAGGUGAGGUAUAUGGGCUGACGCCUGCCCGGUGCUGGAAGGUUAAGAGGAGAUGUUAGAGCAAUCGAAGCAUUGAAUUUAAGCCCCAGUAAACGGCGGCCGUAACAAUAACGGUCCUAAGGUAGCGAAAUUCCUUGUCGGGUAAGUUCCGACCCGCACGAAAGGCGUAAUGAUUUGGGCACUGUCUCGACAAUGCACCCGGUGAAAUUGAAAUACCAGUGAAGAUGCUGGUUACCUGCGCCAGGACGGAAAGACCCCAUGGAGCUUUACUCUAGCUUGAUACUGGGAUUCGGUAUUGCAUGUACAGGAUAGGUGGGAGACGAAGAGGUGAUGACGCCAGUUGUCACGGAGUCGAUGUUGGGAUACCACCCCUGCAGUACUGGGUUUCUAGCCUGCGGCCGUGACCCGGCCGGGGGACAAUGUCUGGUGGGGAGUUUGACUGGGGCGGUCGCCUCCGAAAGGGUAUCGGAGGCGCUCAAAGGUUCCCUCAGAAUGGUUGGAAACCAUUCGAAGAGUGCAAAGGCAGAAGGGAGCUUGACUGCGACACCGACGGGUGGAGCAGGUACGAAAGUAGGACUUAGUGAUCCGGUGGUAUGAAAGUGGGAUUGCCAUCGCUCAACGGAUAAAAGCUACCCUGGGAUAACAGGCUUAUCACUCCCAAGAGUUCACAUCGACGGAGUGGUUUGGCACCUCGAUGUCGGCUCAUCGCAUCCUGGGGCUGUAGUAGGUCCCAAGGGUUGGGCUGUUCGCCCAUUAAAGCGGUACGCGAGCUGGGUUCAGAACGUCGUGAGACAGUUCGGUCCCUAUCCGGCGUGGGCGCAGGAUAUCUGAGAGGAGCUGUCCUUAGUACGAGAGGACCGGGAUGGACUGACCUCUGGUGCAUCGGUUGAGCCACCAGGCUCAUGGCCGAGUAGCCAAGUCGGGACGGGAUAAACGCUGAAGGCAUCUAAGCGUGAAGCCCCCCUCUAGAUGAGAUAUCCCAUAGAGUUAAUCUAGUAAGACCCCUUGAAGACGACGAGGUAGAUAGGCAGAAGGUGGAAGUGUGGUGACAUAUGGAGCUGAUCUGUACUAAUAGGUCGAGGGCUUAGC